UACGUAGGGGGCUAGCGUUGUCCGGAAUCAUUGGGCGUAAAGCGCGUGUAGGCGGUUCGGUAAGUCCGCUGUGAAAGUCCAGGGCUCAACCCUGGAAUGCCAGUGGAAACUGCCGAGCUAGAGUCCGGAAGAGGCGAGUGGGAUUCCUGGUGUAGCGGUGAAAUGCGCAGAUAUCAGGAGGAACACCAAUGGCGAAAGCAGCUCGCUGGGACGGGACUGACGCUGAGACGCGAAAGCGUGGGGAGCAAACAGG
RNAcentral lists this ribosomal RNA (253 nucleotides) under uncultured bacterium. RNAcentral's name for it is "partial 16S ribosomal RNA". It matches the Rfam family "Bacterial small subunit ribosomal RNA", at positions 524 to 776 of the family's 1533-position model. The record is from RNAcentral.